GAUGAACGCUGGCGGCGUGCCUAACACAUGCAAGUCGAACGGAGUUACUUUGGUGAAGUUUUCGGACGGAUCUGAUUUAACUUAGUGGCGGACGGGUGAGUAAUGCGUGAGCAACCUGCCCUUCAGAUGGGGACAACAGCUGGAAACGGCUGCUAAUACCGAAUACGUUCUUUUGUCGCAUGGCAGAGGGAAGAAAGGGGAGGCUCUUCGGAGCUUUCGCUGAAGGAGGGGCUUGCGUCUGAUUAGCUAGUUGGAGGGGUAACGGCCCACCAAGGCGACGAUCAGUAGCCGGUCUGAGAGGAUGAACGGCCACAUUGGGACUGAGACACGGCCCAGACUCCUACGGGAGGCAGCAGUGGGGAAUCUUCGCAAUGGACGAAAGUCUGACGGAGCAACGCCGCGUGAACGAUGACGGCCUCGGUGU
This 424-nucleotide ribosomal RNA is filed under the name uncultured bacterium. RNAcentral describes it as "bacterial SSU rRNA". It matches the Rfam family "Bacterial small subunit ribosomal RNA", at positions 28 to 423 of the family's 1533-position model. The record is from RNAcentral.